UGUUUGUGUGACAUUUUGUGUGCAACAACCUGUUUGACAGGUUUUCAGGGAAACACCUCAUACCUCUGGGUUGCGCAGUGGAAGAGGGGCUGGUCAUCAGGAAUAUAUCGCCUAUAUAUAUAUUUUUAAAAUCCUUAUUUACUCAGAUCUAUGACUCGUAUUCUUGAAUACUCACUCACAUGAUAGGAAUCUUUACAUACAGAGAAAACAGAAGAUUGGAUUUUUCAGCAUUCAGUUUUUUUCUUCUUCACACAGUCAAUGACAAGAAAUGUGAGGAAACAAACAGAGAAAGAGAGCGAUAUGGAGAUCAGUGAAGAAGAAUCCCGUUCCUCUAGCCCAGAGGUGAACCAGUCUAAUGCGCUGCUAAAACAGGAGAGCAUUGAUAAAAGACCAAAUUUUUCUCAUGAUUCAGGUGGUCCAGAACAGUGUCGGCCUGAUAUAUCUGAAGAGGUCCGUGAUAAGGUAAUGGGAUCACAUGCUAUUCAUUAUGUCCAUUUUAAGUACUUAGUAUUGGCUGUGGAUAAAUGUUUGUGUUGAACUUUUCUCCUUAGAGCAUGAGAAUGUGACAUCAUCAGCCUGCUCUACCACCGGCACCGGCGAAAUGGCGUUACGAGGGCACAAUUGUUUUUUUUGUUUUUUUUGAAAUAUCAUGAUUUUAUCACGAUUCUUUGUCAUGUUUGUUUUUCUAUUUUGUAAGCUGUUUGAGCAUCACAGCCAAACUAAUUUUCCUAUUAUAAAGCCUUUUAAGGUAACAAAAUAUGAAAAAGUAUGGCGGAUAUUUAGGCCAAAGUGCAUGGGUAAAGAUAGAAAUCUUUGUCAUUAUUUUAUCUUUGUUAUUAAAAAAUGAGAACAAAGAUACACAUUACAAAUACAGAUAUUAUACAAAUAAAAUAAAGUGUUUUAUUUUCAGGUACAAUAGGUGUAUUUAGCAGGAGCACAAAAAAUUGAAUGAACAAAUAUAAAAAUAAAACAUUAUAAACAUUGAUUCCUAUUAAAGCAACUGUAUUAAAGUUUUUCAGUCAAGAGUAUUGAGUGAUUUUUCUCUGUGUGUUUGGUGUUUUAUUAACAUUAAAGGAAUAAUUCACCCAA
Long non-coding RNA from Cyprinus carpio carpio, 1089 nucleotides. Lineage: Eukaryota; Metazoa; Chordata; Actinopteri; Cypriniformes; Cyprinidae. The record is from Ensembl.